This 72-nucleotide transfer RNA is filed under the name Pycnococcus provasolii. Its description in RNAcentral is "tRNA-Gly". It matches the Rfam family "tRNA". Rfam says of the family: Transfer RNA (tRNA) molecules are approximately 80 nucleotides in length. Their secondary structure includes four short double-helical elements and three loops (D, anti-codon, and T loops). Further hydrogen bonds mediate the characteristic L-shaped molecular structure. tRNAs have two regions of fundamental functional importance: the anti-codon, which is responsible for specific mRNA codon recognition, and the 3' end, to which the tRNAs corresponding amino acid is attached (by aminoacyl-tRNA synthetases). tRNAs cope with the degeneracy of the genetic code in two manners: having more than one tRNA (with a specific anti-codon) for a particular amino acid; and 'wobble' base-pairing, i.e. permitting non-standard base-pairing at the 3rd anti-codon position. RNAcentral also lists the same sequence under 1 other name. The record is from RNAcentral. Lineage: Eukaryota; Viridiplantae; Chlorophyta; Pseudoscourfieldiophyceae; Pseudoscourfieldiales; Pycnococcaceae.
GCGGGUGUAGCUCAGUGGUAGAGCACCGUCCUUCCAAGUCGGUGGCCGCGCGUUCGAUCCGCGUCACCCGCU